ACAUGGCUCCUUGUUUUCUUACAUAAGGAGUCGGACCUGCUCGGUGAAUAUAUUUUAACAGCCGCGGUACUCUGACCGUGCAAAGGUAGCAUAAUCAUUUGCCUUAUAAUUGAAGGCUAGUAUGAAUGGUUUGACGAGAAUUAAGCUGUCUCUUUUUAACUAAAUAUAACUUUAUUAAGAGGUGAAGAAGCCUGUAUUUUAUUGAAAGACAAGAAGACCCUAUCGAGCUUUAAAGAAUUUAGUAGAUUUACCAUAUAUUAAUAAAAAAGUAAAGCAACUAAAUAUUUUGGUUGGGGCGACUGAGGAACAAACAAAGCUUCCUUUAUGCUAAUUAAAACUUACAAGUAUUGAUCCAAUUUAUUUGAUUAAAGAAAUUAGUUACCGUAGGGAUAACAGCAUAAUCUCCUUUGAGAGUUCUCAUCGAAAAGGGGGUUUGUGACCUCGAUGUUGGACCAGAAUACCCAGAAGAUGCAGCCGUCUUCAAUGGUUGGUCUGUUCGACCAUUAAAAUUCUACAUGA
This 519-nucleotide ribosomal RNA is filed under the name Reishia clavigera. Its description in RNAcentral is "partial large subunit ribosomal RNA". It matches the Rfam family "Bacterial large subunit ribosomal RNA", at positions 1813 to 2603 of the family's 2925-position model. The record is from RNAcentral. Lineage: Eukaryota; Metazoa; Mollusca; Gastropoda; Neogastropoda; Muricidae.